CGUAACAAGGUUCCGUAGGUGAACCUGCGGAAGGAUCAUUACCUAGAGUUUGUAGACUUCGGUCUGCUACCUCUUACCCAUGUCUUUUGAGUACCUUCGUUUCCUCGGCGGGUCCGCCCGCCGAUUGGACAACAUUCAAACCCUUUGCAGUUGCAAUCAGCGUCUGAAAAAACAUAAUAGUUACAACUUUCAACAACGGAUCUCUUGGUUCUGGCAUCGAUGAAGAACGCAGCGAAAUGCGAUAAGUAGUGUGAAUUGCAGAAUUCAGUGAAUCAUCGAAUCUUUGAACGCACAUUGCGCCCCUUGGUAUUCCAUGGGGCAUGCCUGUUCGAGCGUCAUUUGUACCUUCAAGCUCUGCUUGGUGUUGGGUGUUUGUCUCGCCUCUGCGUGUAGACUCGCCUUAAAACAAUUGGCAGCCGGCGUAUUGAUUUCGGAGCGCAGUACAUCUCGCGCUUUGCACUCAUAACGACGACGUCCAAAAGUACAUUUUUACACUCUUGACCUCGGAUCAGGUAGGGAUACCCGCUGAACUUAANCAUAUCA
RNAcentral lists this ribosomal RNA (543 nucleotides) under uncultured fungus. RNAcentral's name for it is "eukaryotic LSU rRNA". The stretch from base 185 to 338 matches the Rfam family "5.8S ribosomal RNA". Lineage: Eukaryota; Fungi. The record is from RNAcentral.